This 247-nucleotide long non-coding RNA is filed under the name Homo sapiens (human). RNAcentral's name for it is "PREDICTED lncRNA (TCONS_00146589)". The record is from RNAcentral. Lineage: Eukaryota; Metazoa; Chordata; Mammalia; Primates; Hominidae.
UGGGACUUUUGGGGGCUCCAGCAAGGAAAAGAGCUUCGUCUAUCUCUAGACCCCAGCGUCGAAGGGUCUUCAGCACACGGGCGCCUGAACUGGCUGCACUCCUAGCUGUAACCAGGCUCAUCUAUGGAUGGAGCCUUGGUGGAUGGGCUCCGGGAUAUUCUAGACCAUUGACUGCGCACAAGGUACCCUCGAGAGUCUGUCUUCCGCAGUGAUGAUUCUUGUGAUCCCUGUGAUGGAAAGAAGAAAC